UUUUAAUAGAUGACGCCGUUGACUUUUUCUCACAUGUUUGACCAUUUGUCUUAUUCAAAAAUUUUAAGACGAAUGGUCAAACAUGUGAGAAAAAGUCAACGGCGUCAUCUAUUAAAA
This 117-nucleotide microRNA precursor is filed under the name Oryza rufipogon (brownbeard rice). Its description in RNAcentral is "MIR7504 microRNA precursor family". It matches the Rfam family "MIR7504 microRNA precursor family". Lineage: Eukaryota; Viridiplantae; Streptophyta; Magnoliopsida; Poales; Poaceae. The record is from Rfam by way of RNAcentral.